Molecule: non-coding RNA, 1265 nt
Filed under: Nippostrongylus brasiliensis
Lineage: Eukaryota; Metazoa; Nematoda; Chromadorea; Rhabditida; Heligmosomidae
Description: Eukaryotic large subunit ribosomal RNA
Rfam family: Eukaryotic large subunit ribosomal RNA
Source: Rfam by way of RNAcentral
AACGUUGGGUUAAGGUGCCUAACUUUUCGCUCAUGAGACCCCAUAAAAGGCGUUGGUUGAUAUAGACAGCAGGACGGUGGCCAUGGAAGUCGGUACCCGCUAAGGAGUGUGUAACAACUCACCUGCCGAAUCAACUAGCCCUGAAAAUGGAUGGCGCUUGAGCGAGAGACCUAUACCCAACCGUUGCUGGCUUGUGCGUGCCUGUCGCCUGGCUGCAACGAGUAGGAGGGUCGUGGCGGUUGCGUCGAAGGUUUUGGGCGUAGGCCCAACUGGAGCUUCCGUCAGUGCAGAUCUCGGUGGUAGUAGCAAAUAUUUAAGUUCGAUCCUUGAAGACUGAAGUGGAGAAGGGUUCCACGUGAACAGUAGUUGAAUGUGGGUCAGUCGAUCCUAAGAUACUGGCUUAUGCCUUGUAUCAUCGAGAGGGAAAAGUCUCUUUUCUCUCGGAUAUCAAAAGGGAAUAGGGUUAAUAUUCCCUAACGCAGACACAGAGAUUGUGGCUCUUACGAGUCACUUGCGCGGUAACGCAUUCGAACUUGGUUACGUCGCUCAGAGACCGAGCUAGAGUUCUCUUCUCUAGUUAAGGAACGGACUCCCUGGAAUCGGUUCAGCCGUAGAUAGGGACGUUGUUUCCGUAAAGCAUCGCGGUUUCUGUGAUGUCUCGUGUUCUCUGGACGGCCCUUGAAAAACCAAGGGAGGCUAUUAAUCUGUGCUGCAUCGUACCGAUAUCCGCAUCAGGUCUCCAAGGUGAACAGCCUCUAGUCGAUAGAAUAAUGUAGGUAAGGGAAGUCGGCAAAUUAGAUCCGUAACUUCGGGAAAAGGAUUGGCUCCAGUGACCGGGUCGGUUGGCUUGUUAACUGAUGCUUGUGCGGUUUCGUCCGUGGCUGGCUGAUACUAACGUUGAUGCUGGACUAGUGACAUGACUGCCUUGUGGACGUUUUCAGGUGUGUGCUUUGUCUUCGGACUUAGUAUCCUGAUCGACCAUCAAAACGGUCGAACUGGAACUGGUACGGACUCGGGGAAUCCGACUGUCUAAUUAAAACAGAGGAGACAGAUGGUCCUUGCGGACGUUUACUGUCUCUGAUUUCUGCCCAGUGCUCUGAAUGUUAAAUCGUAGUAAUUCGAGUAAGCGCGGGUAAACGGCGGGAGUAACUAUGACUCUCUUAAGGUAGCCAAAUGCCUCGUCAGCUAACUACUGACGCGCAUGGUCAAGAACCACGGUCGACCAUGAGAGGGUGAAAGCCCUGUUAGAAGAAGGCCUGGUUAAU